AUGAUCUUGAAUAAAUCCCCUUUGAGCAUCUGUUUCUUCAAAUCCAGAAUGGGAAUAUUAAUGAUACUUAUGGCAGGACAGCAACUCCAAAGAAAUUAUAAUGAUAAUAAUCAAAGAAAGAGAUCAUGUCAGAGUGGCUGGACAGCAGUCCUAAAGCCAAAAAGGUUAUAUGAUAUGGGUUAUCAUGUGCUAUCAUGUAAAACAUAUUUCCAUAUUUGUCAUCUUGUUAAUGAAGAUACAUAUUUGUUUAUACAAUAAAAAAAUCAUGAAGGAAAUAACGUGGAAAAUGUACAGGCAACAGCAAUAUGAGAAAAUGAAGUGAAAUGGAAGGAAGCCAUUCAUCCUGUUCUCUGUCACUGAAUUCCCAUAGCAAGAGGAACGAUGGGAUGGCUGAAAUCAGACCGAAGAAGUUGUAAAGCAUUUGGAUUAGAAUGAGUUGGACAAUUUGAGCAAAGUGAUUAUCUUCUUAAAGUUUAAAAUAAUACUUCUGUUCUCUCACACCACAAUGGAGGAGCCCUAGGGAGCUUCUUUGACCAAACUAAUGACACUGAUAAAUGAAGGGGGUAUCCUGUCAAGCUUGUCUG
Molecule: long non-coding RNA, 584 nt
Filed under: Monodelphis domestica (gray short-tailed opossum)
Lineage: Eukaryota; Metazoa; Chordata; Mammalia; Didelphimorphia; Didelphidae
Description: lncRNA (ENSMODG00000051351.1)
Source: RNAcentral